RNAcentral lists this ribosomal RNA (472 nucleotides) under uncultured bacterium. RNAcentral describes it as "partial 16S ribosomal RNA". It matches the Rfam family "Bacterial small subunit ribosomal RNA", at positions 28 to 507 of the family's 1533-position model. The record is from RNAcentral.
GACGAACGCUGGCGGCGUGCUUAACACAUGCAAGUCGAACGCUGAAGCUUGGUGCUUGCUCUGGGUGGGUGAGUGGCGAACGGGUGAGUAAUACGUGAGUAACCUGCCUUUGACUCUGGGAUAAGUCUGGGAAACUGGGUCUAAUACUGGAUAUGACAUGCCACUGCAUGGUGCUGUGGGGAAAGGGGUUUCUCGGGUUUGGAUGGGCUGACGGCCCAUCAGCUUGUCGGGGGGGUAAUGGACCACCAACGCGACGACGGGUAGCCGGCCCGAGAGGGUGACCGGCCACACUGGGCCUGCGGGACGGCCCAGUCUCCAACGGGAGGCAGCAGUGGAGAAUAUUGCACAAUGGGCGGAAGCCAGAUGCGGCGACGCCGCGUUCGGGAUGCCGGCCUUCGAGGUAUAAACCUCUUUCAGCACGGAAGAAGCGAGAGUGACGGUACCUGCAGAAGAAGCGCCGGCUAACUACGUG